GAAAUUCGAUAAGUAAUGUGAAUUGCAGAAUUCAGUGAAUCAUCGAAUCUUUGAACGCAGCUUGCGCUCCUUGGUAUUCCUUGGAGCAUGCCUGUUUGAGUAUCAUGAAAUCUUCAAAGUAAAUCUUUUGUUAACUCAAUUGGUUUCUACUUUGGUAUUGGAGGUCUUUGCAGCUUCACACCUGCUCCUCUUUGUUCAUUAGCUGGAUCUCAGUGUUAUGCUUGGUUCCACUCGGCGUGAUAAGUUAUCUAUCGCUGAGGACACUGUAAAAGGUGGCCAAGGUAAAUGCAGAUGAACCGCUUCUAAUAGUCCAUUGACUUGGACAAUACUUUUAUGAUCUGAUCUCAAAUCAGGUAGGACUACCCGCUGAACUUAAGC
This 378-nucleotide unclassified non-coding RNA is filed under the name plant metagenome. RNAcentral's name for it is "partial contains 5.8S ribosomal RNA, internal transcribed spacer 2, and large subunit ribosomal RNA". The stretch from base 1 to 105 matches the Rfam family "5.8S ribosomal RNA", at positions 50 to 154 of the family's 154-position model. The record is from RNAcentral.